CCUGGCCCGGCCCGGCCCCCCCGGCCGGCCCCGCAGCCAUGGCGGCCGGGCGGGAGCGGGUCGCCCGCCUCCUGCGGCAGCUCCAGCGGGCCGCGUGUCGGUGCCCGAGUCACUGCCACACGUAUUCCCGAGUUCCUGAACAUGCUACCCUGGGAAAUACAGACUAUGCUUUUGAGAUGGCCGUUUCAAACAUCCGCUAUGGAGAAGGAGUUACUAAAGAGAUUGGCAUGGACCUGAAGAAUCUGGGUGCUCAAAGAGUUUGUCUGAUGACAGAUAAAAACCUCUCCCAACUCCCUCCUGUAAAUGCAGUAUUGAAUUCCUUGGCAAAAUAUGGUGUAAACUUUCAGAUGUAUGAUGAAGUCCGGGUGGAGCCGACAGACCAAAGUUUCCUGGAUGCCAUUGAAUUUGCUAAAAAGGGGGAGUUUGAUGCCUAUGUUGCUGUUGGAGGUGGGUCUGUAAUAGACACCUGCAAAGCUGCCAACCUGUACGCCUCCAGCCCCACGUCAGACUUCUUGGAUUAUGUCAACGCUCCCAUUGGGAAAGGGAAGCCUGUCACCGUGCCCCUUAAGCCACACAUUGCAGUUCCCACAACAGCUGGAACUGGAAGCGAAACCACUGGUGUUGCCAUUUUUGACUUCAAAGAACUAAAAGUAAAAACUGGUAUUGCUUCAAGAGCCAUUAAGCCAACGCUGGGCAUCAUUGAUCCUUUACACACGCUGUCUAUGCCAGAGCGAAUAGUGGCCAACAGUGGCUUUGAUGUGCUUUGCCACGCUCUCGAGUCAUACACCGCUCUUCCUUACAAGAUGCGCAGUCCCUGCCCUUCCAAUCCAAUCAACAGGCCAGCUUACCAAGGCAGCAACCCCAUCAGCGACAUCUGGGCUCUUCAUGCUCUGCGCAUUGUGGCUAAAUAUCUGAAAAGAGCCAUCAGAAACCCUGAAGACCGUGAAGCAAGAGCCAACAUGCACCUAGCAAGUGCUUUUGCUGGUAUUGGCUUUGGCAACGCUGGUGUUCAUCUCUGCCAUGGAAUGUCCUACCCUAUUUCUGGUUUGGUGAAAACUUAUAAACCAAAGGAUUAUAACGUGGAUCACUCUUUAGUGCCACAUGGCCUUUCUGUGGUGCUGACAUCCCCAGCAGUGUUUGCUUUCACAGCACAGGUACAUCCUGAGCGGCACUUGGAAGCUGCAGAGAUACUAGGAGCUGACAUCCGCACUGCCAGAAUCAAAGAUGCGGGGUUUAUUUUGGCAGACACGCUCCGGAAAUUCCUAUUUGAUCUGAAUGUUGAUGAUGGCUUAGCUGCAAUUGGUUAUUCUAAAGCAGACAUCCCCGCAUUAGUCAAAGGCACUCUGCCUCAGUAAGUUUUCUUCAGAACACAGCAGCCACCCACUCGUGUCGGCAAGGCAGCGUGCUGCAGGCUGAUGCUGCUAACACAACAAAUCAGCAAGGUGUACUUCACGCUGCAGGGUUGGAGCUAUGCUGGGACAAACCUUCGUACCUGAAGUUAAAAUAGGAUUUUGUUUUUCUUUUUAAAUGAGUCGGUUGAAAUUGAUUCUAUUCACAACAGGGUAGUGAGCCUAGCAAAGAUCAUGUCCCAAGGCCAAAAAGGUGCAUGGGUUUCAGGGGGGAGAUGAGGAAGGCUGAUAUUGAGCGAUGGCAGCAGGCCGGCCCUCCAGCCCACCCACCCCCUGCAACCAUACCAGAGGCAGUCGCAGUGUGGCUGAACCACCGAUGAGCACAAAGUUGCUCAUUCUUGGCAUUACACCAGAAUUUACUGAGUCAGACCGGAGGAGCCAGGGCCUUGCUGUCUGGGCAUCAGCACAUAACAGCAGGCUUGUGUGGGGGCAGCGCUGGUGCCUGUGUGUCGAGCUGCCCUGCGGAGGGAGCAUCCUGCUGCUGUUGCUGGGAAAUGCUGUGGUCUGUCAGGGUGAUGAUCGUCCCCCGUCACCCCGUGGGACUUUACAGGUAACACAGGGUUGCAAAACUGCAGUUUGGCCCAAAGCCUCCUGGUUUAAGCCUGAUGAAUUUACUGAGUAUUUGAGCUCUGAGUUACCAUGUAUUGGGAGUCUGAAAAAAGCAACAUGCCUUUUUGUCCUGGUGCUGUUUGAAUUCUCCAUUUGUUUUCAAAACUGCACGGAAGAAUCUGAGCCAUUUCCUUGGCUGGAUCUGUGUGUACAGCCGUGCCGAUCAGAGAUGAGGCAAGGUUUCAUUCAGUUGUUGCAGCUGGUACCUGCAAAGUCCCUAUUGCACGUGAAGUUGUCUGCACAAAGCUGCGCUUCUCGGACUCAUCGCAGGCCGUGCUAAUCGUGCUGGUUAUGAACUGUGAACGUCUCUGAGGUGACUUCCUCUCCGUGCCCGCCCGAUAUCCACAGAUGAACUUCACAGCGUGGUGCUCUCGCUUUGCGGCCACAUCCGGCUGCUCGGCAAAUCACAGCCCUGUGGGCACAGGGGGAAGCGGAGCAGCUGCGGCAGCGGUGUGAGCUCUGCCUUUUGCUUUUGCUGAGCCUCCUCCAGAUGCUGGGGGCUGGAGGCACUCCCUCCCUGGCAUCCGACCCCGUGUGCGAGGCAAGCCCCGUAGCAAAUGACGUCCGCUGUCUCACAGGUGGAAAAAGGGGAAAAACAAAUCAGAGCGUUUACAGGGACAGCCUCUUCCACCAGGGAGACGUAGAAACAGGUUGUAGGAGGAGAAGCUGUCUUGGAAAGUAACAGCAUUCACGUAGAGGCUGCUUUGCCGAGGCACAAUGCGUUCCCGGUGUGGGCAUCUGUCUUUGCAGGUGUUUGUAAAUCUCCCCAAUACUUCAGUAAAUGGUAAAUUCAUUGGUUGUUGAAAGCAUGAAGUUACUGGUCAUAACGCUACAAGUGCAUUCAUGUUAGGCUGUUUCAGCUAAGUGGAUCCGUGUCAUAUUUCUGCAAUAACUGAAUCCGUACGCAAUCACAGCUCCCCACCCUGACCAGCGUGGGGGCUUUUCGCAAUUGCAAUCCCUGCCUCUGUAGUUAUUUCUGUCAAACAGAACGGUGAAGCGUACAGCUGAGUUUCAUUUCAGUCAGUGGGACUUACACAUCUGAAAACUCGGGUGAAUCACAGGCCAGAUUAAAACCAAACCUAAUUAUUUUCUGUUCUUGCUCCAAGGUGUCCAGCUAUAUAUCAAGCAGCUUCACUACCUUCCUUUGGUGUGUCUCUUCUCUGGAGCCUGAGCUGCACACACUGUUUAUUCUCCCCAUCUACUGGGCUUCCCGGCCUUUGAGAGAUGUUGUAUUUUGAAAAUCUCAGUGCCUAAAAAUUAUGUUCCUAGUUCCAAUGCUGGCAAAUGAAUUUAAAAUGGACUGUAUUCCCAGAACGCUGCCCCCAGCGUACCUACAUCUGUGUCUGGCAAGACCCGUGUCUGAAGUACUCGGCUUUGCAAGUGAACUGCUUUUUAAUCCUCCUUCUGUGUGUUCAAUUAUAAGGUGUUUCAGCUAGUAUAUUAUUGAAAGUACAGUACAGUUGAUGAUGCUUCAACCUUAAUGACUUGAUUACUUAUUUGCAAAACCUUGUUAUUCUCUGCGAAGGACAUGAGCACACAGUUGAGCUGCACAGUUAGCUGCUCUUUGAUUCAAUUUAUUGGCAACCUUCUCUAAUCUGGUUUUUCUUUGAUCUUGCAGGAGAGAGUGACUAAACUGUCACCACGUCCCCAAACAGAAGAAGACUUAUCUGCCCUCUUUGAGGCUUCCAUGAAGCUUUAUUAGCUUAACCAUUUUGCUCAGAAAAGUGUGCCCUUUUAUAACACAAAGAUAUAUAUGAAGUAUUCAUAGGAGGAGCAAACCAGAGUAAAGCAUGCUUGCACCCUCAACAGGAACCACGUAACAGCAAGAUAUCAUCCAUCACGGUCAUUUUGUCUCCGUGGAGAAAACCGCUCCCUUUUCCUGCUGUGUUCUGUGGAAGGAAGCUAUCAACUGUAUGUGCGAAGUGACCGCUUCUGCUGAACUCCUGCAGGUGCUGUCGCUCAGAGCGCAGCCACCAGCCUAAUGAAGUGGCAGUAGGCUGUGGUUCAGUAUGAAAAAGUGGUGGUGUAGCAUAUGGCUGCACUGUGCCCCGCUGGGAGGGCUGGUCAGACGUGGGAAUGAGGGUGCACGUUCGGAGCAGUUAACCAGCUGGUUGACUGUCAACUGAGAAGGGGAAGUGGGAAAGGGAGAAAUGAAACUAAAAUUUUAAUACUAUUUUUCUUUAUUUUUUUAAAAAAAAGUGCACACGGUUGCGUGUGCAGUUCAUUUAAAUCAGAUUCUGCUUCAUGUUGGACCCUUUCAGCACCAGAUUCAUGCAGUGAGCACAGCACAAGACAAAUGCAAGAAGAACCCCAUAACCUGCUGGGAAGGGAGCAGUUCUGCAGUCACCCAGCCGAAGCAGAAGGCUCUAUAUGCACACCUUUGUGCUUUUGUGUUGGUCUGAUAAGAUUAAUGCUAGCCUGGAAUCUAAAAAGAUCUAUCUAAAAAUACAGAUGUGUCCUGGAUGCUGGCGUUGGGUCUGGUUUAAUGUUAUAUUGAAGUAGGUGGAUGGAUACUGAUUGGAUACCAGAGAUUUUCUUCUUUACCAUAGAGUGGGUUUGGUGGCCAUAGGGACUGCACUGCCAAAAUGCCUCAGCCUGUUCUGGAAAGCACAUCUAUUUUCCAUGUCCUUAAUCUUGUCCUGUGCUGAAAUUGCUUGGAGGAACCUCUAUCACGAAGAGUGCCUUCAUAAUAGCAAGGGGUGAGGGAUUCAUUUUAUUUUAUUAUGCAAAGUUGCCAUAUUUGGGGGAAAAAAAACUUCUUGUCAAACCCUUUUGUGUAUAAUAUUUUGCUCUGUUUCAUCUUUUCGCUCCUACCUUUCUCCAGACUGUGGUAGCAACCCUGAAGAGAGAUUUUUUUUUUUUUCUAGGAGCCUAAUUCAUGGCAGCAGUGCUGCGUUUGGAAAGUUCUGGGGAACUGAGCAGCACGUGGGUUUCAUUACUGCACCAGAGCACUUUGAUGGGCUACUUAGGAUUGUAGGAUAUUUCACUCCAGCACACUUUUUAUUUGCUGUUUAUGCUGCUGUGGCAGUUACUAGCAGGCUGCAUUUUCAACUGAUAGGACCUCACACUAAACUUCAUAUACUCGGGUAACCCAGAGCUCUUGCUAAUUUCUAAACUAAGCCUUACAACCCGUUCUGAUGUAAUAGGUUUUCUCCAUGUUUUGUGGAUGAGACAAAGGCUCUGAUACUAUACCUAACCCAGCUUAAGCACCUGGUACUGUAAGAAGGGGACAUUUCUUUUCCUGGCAGUUUUCUGAGCAAAAUCAAAGGAGUUCAAGCCACCCUGCAGAGCUGUCUUUCAAAUAACGAUGGUUUGACAAGGAGUCAUGUCCUGGCUCCUGUCCUAUUCUGAGCAUUGGUAGUUUCAUUCACAACUGAAUAAGGGUUUGUGUGUGUGUGUGUGUGUAUUAUCUAACUAAACUAUUCUGUACUGAGAAAUCUAGUCAAUCAAAUAUACCUGUAUCUUUGAACAUGUCUGUUUUGUGCAUGUGAACGUGGUGUUUGAGGGGACGAAGGGGGGUGAAAUUGUGGUGGUUGGGCAUGUCUGAGCGACUUGUUCCAUGCGUGACUUGUUACUGCCCUGUUACUAAAGGCCUCCGUGAUGCAUCUGUUACCACCUUGAGAUGAUACUGAAAUCCAAAUAAUAAAUAGUAUUGUACUUGCCAUAAACACAA
Molecule: RNA transcript, 5691 nt
Organism: Cygnus atratus (black swan)
Lineage: Eukaryota; Metazoa; Chordata; Aves; Anseriformes; Anatidae
Gene: ADHFE1
Gene name: alcohol dehydrogenase iron containing 1
Exons: 15
Source: RefSeq, a predicted model, not a curated record